CUACGGGUUGCUGCAGUGGGGAAUAUUGGACAAUGGGCGCAAGCCUGAUCCAGCAAUGCCGCGUGUGUGAAGAAGGCCUUCGGGUUGUAAAGCACUUUUGUUAGGGAGGAAAGUCUGGUAGCUAAUACCUGCUAGAUCUGACGUUACCUAAAGAAUCAGCACCGGCUAACUCUGUGCCAGCAGCCGCGGUAAUACAGAGGGUGCAAGCGUUAAUCGGAAUUACUGGGCGUAAAGGGUCUGUAGGCGGAUUAUUAAGUCGGAUGUGAAAUCCCCGGGCUCAACCUGGGAACGGCAUGCGAUACUGGUAGUCUAGAGUGUGGAAGAGGAUGGGGGAAUUCCUGGUGUAGCAGUGAAAUGCGUAGAGAUCAGGAGGAACAUCAAUGGCGAAGGCACCUUUCUGGGGCAACACUGACGCUGAGAGACGAAAGCGUGGGGAGCAAACAGGAUUAGAUACCCCCGUAGUC
This 464-nucleotide ribosomal RNA is filed under the name uncultured bacterium. RNAcentral describes it as "partial 16S ribosomal RNA". It matches the Rfam family "Bacterial small subunit ribosomal RNA", at positions 339 to 795 of the family's 1533-position model. The record is from RNAcentral.